RNAcentral lists this ribosomal RNA (424 nucleotides) under Verrucomicrobiota bacterium. Its description in RNAcentral is "Verrucomicrobia bacterium partial 16S ribosomal RNA". It matches the Rfam family "Bacterial small subunit ribosomal RNA", at positions 355 to 776 of the family's 1533-position model. Lineage: Bacteria; Pseudomonadati; Verrucomicrobiota. The record is from RNAcentral.
UGAGGAAUAUUGGUCAAUGGACGAGAGUCUGAACCAGCCAAGCAGCGUGCAGGAUGACGGCCCUAUGGGUUGUAAACUGCUUUUGCUUGGGAAUAAUCGACAUUACGUGUAAUGUUUUGCAUGUACCAUUCGAAUAAGGACCGGCUAAUUCCGUGCCAGCAGCCGCGGUAAUACGGAAGGUCCAGGCGUUAUCCGGAUUUAUUGGGCUUAAAGGGAGUGUAGGCGGUUGGUUAAGCGUGUUGUGAAAUGUAGAUGCUCAACAUCUGACUUGCAGCGCGAACUGGCUGACUUGAGUACACACAACGUAGGCGGAAUUCAUGGUGUAGCGGUGAAAUGCUUAGAUAUCAUGAAGAACUCCGAUUGCGAAGGCAGCUUACGGGAGUGUUACUGACGCUUAAGCUCGAAGGUGCGGGUAUCGAACAGG